RNAcentral lists this ribosomal RNA (496 nucleotides) under uncultured bacterium. RNAcentral describes it as "partial 16S ribosomal RNA". It matches the Rfam family "Bacterial small subunit ribosomal RNA", at positions 29 to 507 of the family's 1533-position model. The record is from RNAcentral.
AUGAACGCUGGCGGCGUGCCUAAUACAUGCAAGUCGAGCGAACAGACGAGGAGCUUGCUCCUCUGACGUUAGCGGCGGACGGGUGAGUAACACGUGGAUAACCUACCUAUAAGACUGGGAUAACUUCGGGAAACCGGAGCUAAUACCGGAUAAUAUAUUGAACCGCAUGGUUCAAUAGUGAAAGACGGUUUUGCUGUCACUUAUAGAUGGAUCCGCGCCGCAUUAGCUAGUUGGUAAGGUAACGGCUUACCAAGGCAACGAUGCGUAGCCGACCUGAGAGGGUGAUCGGCCACACUGGAACUGAGACACGGUCCAGACUCCUACGGGAGGCAGCAGUAGGGAAUCUUCCGCAAUGGGCGAAAGCUUGACGGAGCAACGCCGCGUGAGUGAUGAAGGUCUUCGGAUCGUAAAACUCUGUUAUUAGGAAAGAACAAAUGUGUAAGUAACUAUGCACGUCUUGACGGUACCUAAUCAGAAAGCCACGGCUAACUACGUG